GUUCCUCUCCAAAAAAACCCAGGAGAGAGCCAGGGCCAUACAGAGCAGUGCUGCCCUGCUCGAAUUUGCCACAUGCCUGCCUGGAUUUGAGGGCUGAACAUCAGAGAGGCAAGAGAGCUGUGGUGUCGGGACGGGCUCCAGGACACCGAGCGCCUGGGCUAUAGGAACAUGGCCAGGAUGUGGGGAGAUCUCAGCCGCUCAGCAGAAUGUGGGAGAGCCGAGUGCUGAUGGGCUAGAGGUGUCCCAUGAGUCGCUGUACAGCAGGUGCAGUGUCGGCAGUCACCAUGGACCAAACCCUGCGCUCCAGACAACCCAGGCUGUUUCCCUGGAUUGCAAAGGGGACUUUAGCUUGGGGAAUCG
Long non-coding RNA from Mauremys reevesii (Reeves's turtle), 360 nucleotides. RefSeq lists it as uncharacterized. Lineage: Eukaryota; Metazoa; Chordata; Testudines; Geoemydidae. The transcript has 3 exons. The record is from RefSeq and is a predicted model, not a curated record.